This 406-nucleotide ribosomal RNA is filed under the name uncultured bacterium. Its description in RNAcentral is "partial 16S ribosomal RNA". It matches the Rfam family "Bacterial small subunit ribosomal RNA", at positions 28 to 526 of the family's 1533-position model. The record is from RNAcentral.
GACGAACGCUGGCGGCGUGCCUAAUACAUGCAAGUCGAACGAGUGGCGGACGGGUGAGUCAUGUAUGGGGAUCUGCCCGGUAGAGGGGGAUACCUACUGGAAACGGUGGCUAAUACCGCAUACUAACGGUUGAACCCAUAUGGGAUUAGCUAGUAGGUGGGGUAAAGGCGCACCUAGGCGACGAUCUCUAGCUGGUUUGAGAGGAGUAUCAGCCACACUGGGACUGAGACACGGCCCAUACUCCUACGGGAGGCAGCAGUGGGGAAUAUUGCACAAUGGGCGCAAGCCUGAUGCAGCCAUGCCGCGUGUAUGAAGAAGGCCUUAGGGUUGUAAAGUACUUUCAGCGGGGAGGCGUUACCCGCAGAAGAAGCACCGGCUAACUCCGUGCCAGCCGCCGCGGUAAUUC